GGUGGCUCAGUGGUAGAGUGCUUGUCUUGCAUGCAUGAGGCCCGGGGUUCAAUUCCCCAGCACCA
This 65-nucleotide transfer RNA is filed under the name Dipodomys ordii (Ord's kangaroo rat). It matches the Rfam family "tRNA". From Rfam's summary of the family: Transfer RNA (tRNA) molecules are approximately 80 nucleotides in length. Their secondary structure includes four short double-helical elements and three loops (D, anti-codon, and T loops). Lineage: Eukaryota; Metazoa; Chordata; Mammalia; Rodentia; Heteromyidae. The record is from Rfam by way of RNAcentral.